UUCUGAAAAAAAAAAAAAAAAAAAAAACCAAAAACCAUUUCUUGGGUGGUUUGAAGAAAUUCUAAGGAGAUCCAAGUGAAAGCAAAGCCAAAGAAGUAGAUUAAGCUUAGUUCUAGCCUUUUUAUGUGGUUUGAGGUUUAGAAAAGCUUGAAGAGAUUGUUUUCGCCGAAAGUUGCUCUGAUAAGCACAUCAAUACCUAAGACAUCACUUGUUACACGGUGAAAUAUAUUUUGGACAAAAGGUAGAGAAAGAAAUGUGUGAAUGACAUGAGGAGAACUGAAGCAUGGUCCUGACCCUGAUUUGUACAUAUGAACAUAUCGACCUUUUUGUGGGUUAUUUCAGUUAUCAGUGAGAUGUUUGUAAUAAAGUGUGAAGUUAUGUUUUGAAAACAAA
Long non-coding RNA from Humulus lupulus (European hop), 393 nucleotides. RefSeq lists it as uncharacterized. The record is from RefSeq and is a predicted model, not a curated record. The transcript has 4 exons. NCBI's taxonomy places the organism in Eukaryota, Viridiplantae, Streptophyta, Magnoliopsida, Rosales, Cannabaceae.